GUGCACGGGCGGCGUGCUAUACAUGCAGUCGAGCGAAUCUGAGGGAGCUUGCUCCCAAAGAUUAGCGGCGGACGGGUGAGUAACACGUGGGCAACCUGCCUGUAAGACUGGGAUAACUUCGGGAAACCGGAGCUAAUACCGGAUAAUCCUUUUCUACUCAUGUAGAAAAGCUGAAAGAUGGCUUCGGCUAUCACUUACAGAUGGGCCCGCGGCGCAUUAGCUAGUUGGUGAGGUAACGGCUCACCAAGGCGACGAUGCGUAGCCGACCUGAGAGGGUGAUCGGCCACACUGGGACUGAGACACGGCCCAGACUCCUACGGGAGGCAGCAGUAGGGAAUCUUCCGCAAUGGACGAAAGUCUGACGGAGCAACGCCGCGUGAGUGAUGAAGGUUUUCGGAUCGUAAAACUCUGUUGUUAGGGAAGAACAAGUACCGUUCGAAUAGGGCGGUACCUUGACGGUACCUAACCAGAAAGCCACGGCUAACUACGUGCCAGCAGCCGCGGUAAUACGUAGGUGGCAAGCGUUGUCCGGAAUUAUUGGGCGUAAAGCGCGCGCAGGUGGUUUCUUAAGUCUGAUGUGAAAGCCCCCGGCUCAACCGGGGAGGGUCAUUGGAAACUGGGAGACUUGAGUGCAGAAGAGGAAAGUGGAAUUCCAAGUGUAGCGGUGAAAUGCGUAGAGAUUUGGAGGAACACCAGUGGCGAAGGCGACUUUCUGGUCUGUAACUGACACUGAGGCGCGAAAGCGUGGGGAGCGAACAGGAUUAGAUACCCUGGUAGUCCACGCCGUAAACGAUGAGUGCUAAGUGUUAGAGGGUUUCCGCCCUUUAGUGCUGCAGCAAACGCAUUAAGCACUCCGCCUGGGGAGUACGGCCGCAAGGCUGAAACUCAAAGGAAUUGACGGGGGCCCGCACAAGCGGUGGAGCAUGUGGUUUAAUUCGAAGCAACGCGAAGAACCUUACCAGGUCUUGACAUCCUCUGACAAUCCUAGAGAUAGGACGUUCCCCUUCGGGGGACAGAGUGACAGGUGGUGCAUGGUUGUCGUCAGCUCGUGUCGUGAGAUGUUGGGUUAAGUCCCGCAACGAGCGCAACCCUUGAUCUUAGUUGCCAGCAUUCAGUUGGGCACUCUAAGGUGACUGCCGGUGACAAACCGGAGGAAGGUGGGGAUGACGUCAAAUCAUCAUGCCCCUUAUGACCUGGGCUACACACGUGCUACAAUGGAUGGUACAAAGGGCUGCAAGACCGCGAGGUUUAGCCAAUCCCAUAAAACCAUUCUCAGUUCGGAUUGCAGGCUGCAACUCGCCUGCAUGAAGCCGGAAUCGCUAGUAAUCGCGGAUCAGCAUGCCGCGGUGAAUACGUUCCCGGGCCUUGUACACACCGCCCGUCACACCACGAGAGUUUGUAACACCCGAAGUCGGUGGGGUAACCGCAAGGAGCCAGCCGCGCUAGCGAUGCUCACCACGGCGC
RNAcentral lists this ribosomal RNA (1464 nucleotides) under uncultured bacterium. Its description in RNAcentral is "bacterial SSU rRNA". It matches the Rfam family "Bacterial small subunit ribosomal RNA". The record is from RNAcentral.